RNA transcript from Esox lucius (northern pike), 6335 nucleotides. It is a transcript of the gene named adenylate kinase 9, with no coding region annotated. NCBI's taxonomy places the organism in Eukaryota, Metazoa, Chordata, Actinopteri, Esociformes, Esocidae. The transcript is spliced from 31 exons. The record is from RefSeq and is a predicted model, not a curated record.
GUGUGUUUCGGGUCGUUGUCAUGCUGGAAGACCCAGCCACGACCCAUCUUCAAUGCACUUACUGAGGGAAGGAGGACAGGUGCACUAUAACACAAGACAGUCCAGGGAUAUGUUUGUGUGUAGAUGGGACUUGGGGCCAUGGCAGCUAGUAGGCUGGCAACAAGGACCGAUGAGGCUGCGGGGGGAGGAAGGCGUGGCCACGGGCAGAACUGCAACUAUUAUUUAAUAUAAAUUGCAUAAUUAUCCCUUAAAAUGUUUCUCUUUAACCUUUCAAGCCAUUCAUAGGUUUCACAUGUUUUAGCUAUUCCAACAUUACUCCUGGAAAUGUUUUUUUUGUGGUUUCUUUAGUUGGCUGCUUAUUUUAUGAAUCAGGUGGAGGAGCUGGAGCUACAUAAGGACAUGAUCAGCCAGUUGGUGCGAGCACAGGACAACUUCCCAGAGAAUGCCUACCGCAGGAUCCUCCUGUAUAAAGACACCCUGCUUCGACCUCUAGAGGACUUCAUGGCGGACCAUGAUUCACUGCACCUGUUUGAGCUGGAUGGCAAUAAAAACACUGAGGAGCUAUUCAUGUCGGUGGUGUCCCGCCUGGAGUCCAUGUCAGUGCGUAGGGCCGCUGUCCCUAUUCGGCUUCUCCCGAUGGACGAGUAUUAUGACAUUGAUCCGGAGGAGCUGUUGCCCACCCUUUGCUCCUGUAAGACGGUGGUCCCUGGUUUCAAGUGGAGGAGGAGCCGCUGGGGUAGAGCCUGUCCUGUAGCCCUGAAGGAAGGCAAGAUGGUCAAGGGCAGACCUGAGUUCUCUGUGGGGUUUCUGGAUAAAGUCUAUGUCCUGUCGUCCAGUGAGGCCUAUGGGAAGUUCAUGCUGAAUCCACGGCGUUACCUCCUGCCCCCCAUGCCGCGGCCACCCUGUAAGGUAUCUGUGAUUGGCCCUCCGUGCUCGGGGAAGACCACGCUGUGUGCCCUAUUGGCCCAGCACUACGGAGCUGUGGUGGUGGAUGUAGAGGUCUUGAUGAAGCCCGUCCUUGCCAAAGUCAAUCAGGACAUGUUGGAGAGGGUCAGGAGAGAAACCACACUCAUGGCCAUCAAUAUGGUCAAGGCCCAGAUGGAUCUGGACGCCACACACCAAUCCAUAAACACGAGAUCCAAUAUCAAUGAGGAGGAUGAUGAAAAUGAUUCAGAGACAACCACAAGUCACUCCUCCAACAGUGAUGAAGUUAUGGUGACAGCAGAUCACCCAGAUGUUCUAGCCAUUGUAAACAAGGCUUUAAAGGAGACGCUGCAGGUUGAAACCCCGCCUUUGGACCUGUACGCAGACGUGCUGGAGAAACACAUCAGGGAGAUUGAGAUGGCCGAUGCAGACUCAGACUCAAAGAGGGGGUGGGUGCUGGACAACUUCCCCAGGAACAGUUCACAGUGGGCCACUAUUCAGGAUCUGCAUGUUGAGAUUGUACCCGAUAUCCUGUUCUCCCUGAAAGACAGCAAUGGGGAAGGUGGCGUCGUUUUGAAGAGGAUGUAUGAACGGAACAGGGAGGAGGUUGAUGCGUUGAUAAUCAAGAGGCUUGAACUAGGGCAGAAACAGGAGGCUCUGGAUACCUUAAACCCUACGCAACGGCACACAGAAGAGGAGCUUACAGAUCCCCAGGACAAACUGGAGGCAGUGCAAGAGGAGGCAGAGGACGUGACUCUGCCUGCAGUGUGGGAUAAGGGUUAUCCAGACGGUCCGGAGAUGGACCCUUUUAAGCAGCAGUUGAAGCAGUUCGUAGUGGACUGGCAGCACAUGUCUUCCACUUACACUGGAAGCCACAGCAUACUGGAGGUCCCUGGCAAGACUCCUCAGGAUCUCCUCCAGGAGAUGGUCAUGCAGUUGGAGAAGCCCUUUAAGUACGCUAGCUGGGAGGUCUCUGGAGUAGAGCUGCAGGAGGAAGAGGAGGAUGCUCAAGCUAUGGCUGAACUGGAGAAACCAGAGGAUCCUGAGGAAGAAGGGGAGCAGGAAACAGAGGAGGAGACGGGGUUUAGGAGGGGGUUGGGUGACACACAACAUUUCUGUCCCAUUGCCCUGAAGGACAACGGAGUGCUGAUCCCUUGUCUGGAUGACUAUGCUGCCAGGUACAGAGAGAAGACCUACUACUUCUCCAGUACUGAGGCCAGGGACCGCUUUCUGCUGAGCCCCGAGGAAUACGUCUCCCACACCCAACUGUUACAGGUUCCAGCUCCGAGGAUCUUCAUGCUGGGCGUAAGGGGCUCCGGUAAGACCGAGCACGGGAAGUGGCUGGCCGGGCAGCUGGGGGUGUUCCACAUCCAGUACAGGGAACUUCUCCAGGAGAGGCUCCUGCCCAAGACCCAGGCCCGUGUGCCCUACACUGAUGAGGUGGAGCCCCCCGAGGAGCCCCCGGUGGACCUGGACACCCUGCUGCUGCAAACACAGCAAAGUCAAAGCAGCACGGCACACUCUGCUGAUAACCAGGGGCAACACAGCGAGGAGGGCAGGUCCCCAGUGGAAGCCCCUGCAGCAGAGCUGGAGGUGGAGCUGAGCAACAACGAGGAGGCCAUUAAAUCCUAUCUGUAUGAUGGAGUACCUCUGCCUCAGGAUAUAAUGGAGAUGAUGCUGGCACGGUUCUGGCACCAGGAGCCAUACAAGUCUAAAGGAUUCAUCCUAGAGGGAUUCCCCCAGAACCCAGAGGAAGUCGCCUUCAUGGUGGAACAACGGCUGUACCCGGACACCGCCGUGGUCAUGGCGGUGGACGUGAGGGAUGUCGUCCAGCGCCUGCUGCCCCCCCGCCUGGCCGGCUGGAGGGAACGCCGCAACCGCAGGAGAGAACAGAUGAGUCAAGUCAGAGAGCUCCGCCACAAAAUCUGGGAGAAAGACAUCGCCCAGAUGAAAGCUGAGCUUAUGAAAGAGUUCUUCAUAAAUCCACCAGCUGUCAAGGUGAAGGACGAAGACAACGAUGAUGAGGAGGAUCAGGAGUUCAACGAGGGGAUGGAGAAGAUUGAGGCCAUGCUGAGGGAGGAGUUACCCCCGGACCAGGAGGAUGACGGGAAGGAUGAGGAAACAGAUGCGGCCGCCGAGGACAGGCUCGAGAUGGAGAUCGGGGUGCGCUUUGAGGCGGAUGAGGCUCGCCUCAACAUGAUCACGGAUCUCCUGAAUGACAACCGGAUCCCCAAGCUGUCCAUCAACGCUGGCCGUAAGCCCAGGAAUGUGCGCUCUCAGCUCCUGUUUAAAGUCCAGCCCCUGGUGACCAACAGGGAGGCUCAUUUCCACAAAGGCCAAACCAUCAGCUACGCUACUGCCCGCAAGAUGCUCAGCAACUCUUACAAGUACAACAGCUCCUUUGGCUGGUGGGACCCUGUCAAGUUUAUGGAGGGAGAUCUGAUCCAGCCAAUGCAAGGUCCCUGGAACCCCACCUUUCCCGUGCUCCUCCACCAGUUCAUCUACUUCUUUACCUCCAAGGAGACAAGGGACACCUUCCUUAUCAACCCCAUCAAGUACCUGAAGCAGCCCAAACCCAACCCUUCCCUGCCAAUCAAACUGGCCAUUAUCGGCCCCCCAAAGUCAGGCAAAACCACAGUGGCGACCAAGUUUGCCCGUGAGUAUGGCCUGGCCCAUUUGUCCAUCGAGGACGUGAUGCAGACAGUGCUGGCCAGCCAGGGAAAGACAGAGCUGGCUGGUCAGAUGUUCAAGCACCUCUCGCAGGGCCAAACGGUGCCAGACCAACUGGUCAUCCAGUGCCUGGAGGUGGCCCUCAUGAAUCUGGUCUGCAGCACCAGAGGGUACGUCUUGGACGGCUUCCCUGUGACGCGCAGUCAGGCCGAUCUCAUGGAGGCUCGGGGCAUCAUCCCGAUGCGCGUUGUGGAGUUACAGUUGGACACAGUGGAGGUGCUAAAGCGAGGCCUCAUUGAUAAGAUGAACCCUGACAGACCAUACCUGAUGCACGACAGCCCCCAGAUCCUGAACAUCCGUAACUCCAACUUCAGGCGUGAGGCUGAGAGGGUGAGGGAGCUCUAUCAGCAUCAGUACCAGAACUGGGUCUCUGUGGACGGAUACAAAUCCAAGUGGUGGGUCUGGAACCGAGUCCUGGAAGAGACCAGCUUGAGCAUGAGGCACAUCCAAACCUACCUGCAGAGAAUACGCACUGGCCAUGCGGCCAGCAUUGACAGGCUGUGCAUCACCCCGAUGGAGCUGCGGUCUAGGCUUGGUGAGUUUGGUCAGUACUGCCCUAUCAGCCUUGCCCUCCAUCGCCACCUGGUGGACUGCUCUCUCACAACAUCCCUGGAGCUAGCUGCAGAGUUUAGGGGACCCUACUACAAGAUGUGCUCUCGGGAGCACCUGGAGCUGUUCCUGAAGAAUCCAGAGAAGUUUGUGAUCCCUUUGUGCCCUCACCGUCUCCCCCCAGUCUGCAUGCUGCCCAAGAAGAUGACAGCCAGCCAGGUGAAGGCCAGGUUUCCCCAGCAAGUCGAGAUGAAGGGCUUUUGCCCGGUCACAUACCUGGACGGAAGGCAGAGGUAUGAGGCCCUUGUUCGUGGAAGCAUCGAGUAUGCUGUGGAAUACCAAGAACGGAUCUACAUUUUUCAGAAUGAACAGAAACAGGACCUGUUUCUCAGGUCACCUGAAACCUAUUCCAACCAGAAGCUGCCUGACAAACUGCCUCCUAUGAGUGAACCGGUUCAGCUCACCUCCUUGCCCAUGCUGGGCUACAUGGAACAGGGUAUGGCGGAACCGCUCAUCAAGGCUCUGACGGCCGUCGGAUGUCUCAAACCGAAGUUCCCCUAUCUCAGUAUGAAAAGAUCAGCUCUCCAAUAUGUUGCAUAUUAUUUGAAAGCCUUCAACCCCAGGAACUCAAGCUACAUCCGUCAGAUGUACAAGAAGAAACUGGCAUCGUUUGAGGAGAAUUGUGAGCUCAUCCCCUACCUGGGCUCCGCUAUUACCAGGAUGAAAGAAAAUCAUCAGGAGCAUGCCAUAGACUUUGAAUUUAAGCUGCAGAAAUUUCUGGCAUUUGGAGAGUCUUCCUCUGGUUUAGGAGACCUAUAGAACCUCUUCUAAAAUAGAGUUAAAUUAUUCUAGUCCUUUUAAACUGCUAUGAAAACAUUUAAUCUGCGAUGAAACCUUUAUUUCUUGUUUAAACACCAUUUGUGAAGUGUGGAUUUUCUAAGGACUUACAAAACAUUCAUCAGUAAUGUUACUUUUUAAACGAAUACAUUGUUUAAAGGGGUUGUCAUACAUUUUACAUGUGGCUUUAUUUCCACCCUUUCUGGGCUGGUAGGUGAUACACCGUUCAUCCUUCCCCAAUCCUGACCAGUCCCUGUCACUGAGAAGCAUCCCCAUACCAUCAACCAUGCUUCACCUUAGGGAUGGUAUUAGCCAAGUGAUGAGCACUACCUUAUCUUUCAAAUAUGUAGCACUUUAAAUUUGCCACAGUUCUAGAGACAUCUCAAGAAUGUAUCAAAGGACAUAGGAUGCAUCAGAACUCAUUGUGGAUCAAACUUGUCGGUCCAGCACAUCCCACAAAUGCUCAAUUGGAGUGAAAUCUGGGAAAUUUGGAAGCCAUAUUCCUCAAGCCAUUCCCAAACAAUGUGUGCACAGUGGCAGGGUGCCUUAUCCUAAUGAAAGAGGUCACUGUCAUCAGGGAAUACCAUUUCCAUGAAGGGGAGUACCUAGUCUGCGAUGAUGUUUAGGUAGGUGGCACGCGUCAAAUUGAUGUCCACAAGAAAGUUGGGACUCAGGAUUUCCCAGCAGAACAUGGACCGGAGCGUCCUUCACUGGAGUGUCUUUCACUUGUGAUGGCAAUUUCUAAAGUCCAAACAAUUUACGAAAAUGUACAUCCUGGUGCCAUAACUUUCCCAGUUGGAGAGCGUACACGUACAUGGGCAUCCACGUGAUGGAAAAGAAAACAGGACUCAUCGGACCUGGCGUCCUUCCACUACUCCAAGGUCCAGUUCCAAUGCUCGCAUACCCAUUGUAGGUGCUUUCAACGGUGGUGCAGUGGUCAUCAUUCCAGUCAAUAUUUGCCAGUUAGGGGUGUAACUAUUCCCCAAAUCCUCAAUUCGAUUUGACUUUCAAUUGUUAGGUCAUAAUUUGACUAGAUUUUCAAAUAUCAACCUUUUUUUCAGUUCUGACUACAUUGCUGUUAAGACUAUUGGCCCUGUUUUGUAAAAACAACAACAAAAAACUGUUAUUUAAACACAAUGUAAAAAUAAGAAAAAUAUAAAUUUACUUGAACUUGAACAACUCUCAAAAAUAGAACAGUAUCAACUAUGUCCAGCACCUUUUGCCUAUUUUGAUAUAUUUAUUUACACCUUUUUAUUCAAUAAGGUAUAUCUGCAGACUGCAAGUUGGGGGCGUUA